UGGCGAGUGGCCUAACUGGCAAGGCACCUGACUCUGGAUCAGGGGAUUGAAGGUUCGAGUCCUUCCUCGCCAGCCA
Molecule: transfer RNA, 76 nt
Filed under: Actinomycetes bacterium
Lineage: Bacteria; Bacillati; Actinomycetota; Actinomycetes
Also listed under: 2 other names
Description: Actinobacteria bacterium tRNA-Gln
Rfam family: tRNA
About the family: Transfer RNA (tRNA) molecules are approximately 80 nucleotides in length. Their secondary structure includes four short double-helical elements and three loops (D, anti-codon, and T loops). Further hydrogen bonds mediate the characteristic L-shaped molecular structure. tRNAs have two regions of fundamental functional importance: the anti-codon, which is responsible for specific mRNA codon recognition, and the 3' end, to which the tRNAs corresponding amino acid is attached (by aminoacyl-tRNA synthetases). tRNAs cope with the degeneracy of the genetic code in two manners: having more than one tRNA (with a specific anti-codon) for a particular amino acid; and 'wobble' base-pairing, i.e. permitting non-standard base-pairing at the 3rd anti-codon position.
Source: RNAcentral